RNAcentral lists this ribosomal RNA (206 nucleotides) under uncultured bacterium. RNAcentral describes it as "partial 16S ribosomal RNA". It matches the Rfam family "Bacterial small subunit ribosomal RNA", at positions 524 to 729 of the family's 1533-position model. The record is from RNAcentral.
GACGUAGGAUGCGAGCGUUGUCCGGAUUUAUUGGGCGUAAAGAGUUCGUAGGUGGUUCAUUAAGUUUGGUGUUAAAGACCGGGGCUCAACCUCGGGACCGCACUGGAUACUGGUGGACUAGAGUGCAGUAGAGGCAAGCGGAAUUCCAGGUGUAGCGGUGAAAUGCGUAGAUAUCUGGAAGAACACCGGUGGCGCAAGCGGCUUGC